AGGUAGCCUAGUGGUUAGAGUGUUGGCCCAGUAACCAGCAGGUAGCCUAGUGGUUAGAGUGAUGGCCCAGUAACCAGCAGGUAGCCUAGUGGUUAGAGUGUUGGACUAGUAACCAGCAGGUAGCCUAGUGGUUAGAGCGUUGGCCCAGUAACCAGCAGGUAGCCUAGUGGUUAGAGUGUUGGACUAGUAACCAGCAGGUAUCCUAGUGGUUAGUGUUGGCCCAGUAACCAGCAGGUAGCCUAGUGGUUAGUGUUGGACCAGUAACCAGCAGGUAGCCUAGUGGUUAGUGUUGGACCAGUAACCAGCAGGUAGCCUAGUGGUUAGUGUUGGCCCAGUAACCAGCAGGUAGCCUAGUGGUUAGUGUUGGACCAGUAAC
Oncorhynchus tshawytscha (Chinook salmon) is the source of this 376-nucleotide long non-coding RNA. The record is from Ensembl. Lineage: Eukaryota; Metazoa; Chordata; Actinopteri; Salmoniformes; Salmonidae.